Acanthosepion pharaonis is the source of this 114-nucleotide non-coding RNA. The record is from the annotation of a GenBank genome assembly. Lineage: Eukaryota; Metazoa; Mollusca; Cephalopoda; Sepiida; Sepiidae.
UUACGGCUAUAUCACGCUGAAACAUCGGUUCCUGUACGAUCACCGCCGUUAAGCUAUGUCGAGCCUGGUCAGUGCCUAGAUGAGUGACCGCUUGGGAAUACCAAGUGCUGUAAA